UGGCAAAAUAUUGAGUAACAUAUGACCUCCGAACGGUAAAGGCUACGACAAACCUUCACUCGGAGCGAACCGACGUCUUCGUCAUGGCGGCUUUGCCGCACAGCACCAAACAUUUUGAGCGUUAGUUAUGGCAUGUAUUUUAUAUUAUUAAAAUUAUUUUUGACAUAAGCGGUGAGUAUCAGUGACGCGAAAAGGGACUUUGAGCUGGAAUACCAUUAAUUAGCUUACAAUGCACAGAAACAAAACGGCCCCACUCUGCAAAUUCGCUAACUAUGAUAGGUGAAACCGCUUGGAGUACGUCGUGAAACCGCUUGGAGUAAAACGCGUGGGCCCUCGAAGCUCGAGGGCGGUGGGAUUCAGUUUCGCUGUAACGUGGAGCGGUGUCAGCGUCUUGGUUUACGGGCUCUCCUUGUGGCGGCCCGUUCUGGCUGCCCGCGCGGUGCCGCGCACUACGAAACGCAUUUUCCACUGUCGGUAGGACGCCGCGACGGGCACGGGUAAUCCUUUCAAGAACGACUUUGAGUCCGGCCGCUGGAGGUGACCGGCGACGGCCCUUGUUUGGCUGUCGUGGGAGUUAUACCUGGCCGGUAAUCGAGUACGUCACCCUGCCCAGGCCUCAUGGGCUACUCCCUUCGGGGAGGCCCGAAACGAUGCGAGGCCCGAAAUCGAUCGUCCGACCCAGGUGUAGAGGCGAAAGACUAAUCGAACCAUCUAGUAGCUGGUUCCCUCCGAAGUUUCUCUCAGGAUAGCUGGCGCUUGUUGCCGAGACCAGUCACACCUGGUAAAGCGAAUGAUUAGAGGCAUUGGGGUCGAAACGACCUCAACCUAUUCUCAAACUUUCAAUGGGUGUGUCGGAGGCCUUCAGGUCUGAGGCCUCCGGAAGCGAUGAGAGCGCCAAGUGGGCCACUUUUGGUAAGCAGAACUGGCGCUGUGGGAUGAACCAAACGCCGGAGUAAGGCGCCCGAUGCGGGACGCUCAUGAGAUCCCAUGAAGGGUGUUGGUUGCUUAAGACAGCAGGACGGUGGCCAUGGAAGUCGGAACCCGCUUAGGAGUGUGUAACAACGCACUUGCCGAAGCAACUAGCCCCGAAAAUGGAUGACGCUCAUGUGUCGAGCCUAUCCCCGGCCGCUGCCGGCAGAUGCACGCAAACAAGGGGGUGUAAGCUGCAGCGAGUAGGAGGGCCGCUGCGGCGAGCGUUGAACGUGUCGGGCGUAAGCCCGUCUGGAGCCGCCGCUGGUGCAGAUCUUGGUGGUAGUAGCAAAUACUCAAGUGAGAACCUUGAGGACUGAAGUGGAGAGGGGUUCCAUGUGAACAGCAGUUGAACAUGGGUGAGUCGGUCCUAAGGGAAAGGAGAAGUUCUUUCCGAAGCCGGAGCACUUUUUUUGCAGUGGAGAGAGCCCCGCAGUGACCGAAAGGGAAUCGGGUUAAUAAUCCCGAACCCGGACACGGAGAUUGGUCCUUCGGGGCCCAGUGCGGUAACGCAAACCAGCUCAGAGACGCCGAUUCGAGCCCCGAGAAGAGUUUUCUUUUCUCUGUAGGGAGAUCGAGUCCCUGGAAUGGGUUCGCCCCGAGAUAGAGAUGGUGGCUCCGUAGAGCAGUGCGGUUCUUUCUCUGUCCGGUGCGCUCGCGUCGGCCCUUGAAAAUCCGAGUGAGGGAGUAUGAUUUUCGUGCCACACCGUACCCACAUCCGCAGCUGGUCUCCAAGGUGAACAGCCUCUAGAGUCUAGUCGAUGGACCAAUGUAGGUAAGGGAAGUCGGCAAAACGGAUCCGCAACCUUGGGAUAAGGAUUGGCUCUGAGGACUGAGUCGGUCGGGCUGGGGACCUGAAGCAGGAACGGCACUGUACCGAGACUGGGCGGGGCUCGCCGUUCACGCGGCGCGGCCAAGCCCGAACCAGCGUCGGGAUUUUUCUGUGGAAAGCCUCAGCUGCGCGGCGUCUGAGGGCUUCGUGCCCAAAGUGCUAUGCUUCGGCCGGCAAAAAACAGUCAACUCAGAACUGGCACGGACCGGGGGAAUCCGACUGUCUAAUUAAAACAAAGCAUUGCGAUGGCCGCUGGUCGGUGUUGGCGCAAUGUGAUUUCUGCCCAGUGCUCUGAAUGUCAACAUGAAGAGAUUCAUCAAAGCGCGGGUAAACGGCGAGAGUAACUAUGACUCUCUUGUCAUAGUUACUCCCGCCAUCAAAGGUGCCAUCAAAGGACAGGAAGGUGAAGGUGGACACCUCGGAAAGUUUUACGGUGGGAUGCGUCGCGUUACCAACGAGCGACACCGCCUCGGUGUGGAAAUACCUGGGCCUCCAGUUUACGGCAAUGGGUAGAAGGGCCAUGCCGUUGGAGAGACAGCUAGCCGAGCUCCUGGGUAGGGUCUCGAAGACCCCUUUAAAACCUCCACAGAGGCUUGUGAUCUUGAAGUUUUACCUCAUUCCGCGCCUCUUACAUAGGUUGGUCUUAGGACCUUGAUCGCAGAACCUUUUGCUCCGACUAGACAAGAUGGUCAGAGCCGCAAUGAGAAGGUGGCUGGCACUGCCACACGAUGCUCCGAUGGCAUACUUUCAUGCCGAGGUCUCCGAGGGUGGGUUGGACGUCCC
Molecule: ribosomal RNA, 2584 nt
Filed under: Ixodes scapularis (black-legged tick)
Lineage: Eukaryota; Metazoa; Arthropoda; Arachnida; Ixodida; Ixodidae
Description: eukaryotic LSU rRNA
Rfam family: Eukaryotic large subunit ribosomal RNA
Source: RNAcentral